UUUUUAUGCAAGUCGAACGAACUCUGGUAAUGAUUGGUGCUUGCAUCAUGAGUUACAUUUGAGUGAGUGGCGAACUGGUGAGUAACACGUGGGAAACCUGCCCAGAAGCGGGGGAUAACACCUGGAAACAGAUGCUAAUACCGCAUAACAACUUGGACCGCAUGGUCCGAGUUUGAAAGAUGGCUUCGGCUAUCACUUUUGGAUGGUCCCGCGGCGUAUUAGCUAGAUGGUGAGGUAACGGCUCACCAUGGCAAUGAUACGUAGCCGACCUGAGAGGGUAAUCGGCCACAUUGGGACUGAGACACGGCCCAAACUCCUACGGGAGGCAGCAGUAGGGAAUCUUCCACAAUGGACGAAAGUCUGAUGGAGCAACGCCGCGUGAGUGAAGAAGGGUUUCGGCUCGUAAAACUCUGUUGUUAAAGAAGAACAUAUCUGAGAGUAACUGUUCAGGUAUUGACGGUAUUUAACCAGAAAGCCACGGCUAACUACGUGCCAGCAGCCGCGGUAAUACGUAGGUGGCAAGCGUUGUCCGGAUUUAUUGGGCGUAAAGCGAGCGCAGGCGGUUUUUUAAGUCUGAUGUGAAAGCCUUCGGCUCAACCGAAGAAGUGCAUCGGAAACUGGGAAACUUGAGUGCAGAAGAGGACAGUGGAACUCCAUGUGUAGCGGUGAAAUGCGUAGAUAUAUGGAAGAACACCAGUGGCGAAGGCGGCUGUCUGGUCUGUAACUGACGCUGAGGCUCGAAAGUAUGGGUAGCAAACAGGAUUAGAUACCCUGGUAGUCCAUACCGUAAACGAUGAAUGCUAAGUGUUGGAGGGUUUCCGCCCUUCAGUGCUGCAGCUAACGCAUUAAGCAUUCCGCCUGGGGAGUACGGCCGCAAGGCUGAAACUCAAAGGAAUUGACGGGGGCCCGCACAAGCGGUGGAGCAUGUGGUUU
Molecule: ribosomal RNA, 933 nt
Filed under: Lactiplantibacillus plantarum
Lineage: Bacteria; Bacillati; Bacillota; Bacilli; Lactobacillales; Lactobacillaceae
Description: bacterial SSU rRNA
Rfam family: Bacterial small subunit ribosomal RNA
Source: RNAcentral